RNAcentral lists this long non-coding RNA (335 nucleotides) under Nicotiana benthamiana. RNAcentral describes it as "long non-coding RNA (NBEN_LNC040125)". Lineage: Eukaryota; Viridiplantae; Streptophyta; Magnoliopsida; Solanales; Solanaceae. The record is from RNAcentral.
UUAUGUCGAGGUUGGAUAUUAGUGAUCAGCAUCAAGUUCUUCCAUUCAACCCUAUUGAAGCUGGGGAGCAUUGUGAGGUAUAAUUUCUGAAUAUGAAACUUAUCCAGUCUACAUACACUUUGCAGUCUGCCAAACAGAUCCCCCUGGAACUUCUGGCUCUCCAGUGUCAUAGUUUUGCUUUCCAGUAUCUUCCUGACAACCCAAGAAGCUGAUUUUGGAAUGUUUAUUGUUGCAAUGUCACCCUGUUUGAUGUAGUAAGAGUGAACCCAUCUAACCCAAAGACAAUCUUUCUUCCUGGACAAGUCCCACAACAAUUUAGUAAUGGCUGCUUUGUU